GGUGGGGUUCCCGAGUGGCCAAAGGGAACAGACUGUAAAUCUGUCGGCUCAGCCUUCGAUGGUUCGAAUCCAUCUCCCACCA
This 82-nucleotide transfer RNA is filed under the name Alkalibaculum bacchi. It matches the Rfam family "tRNA". From Rfam's summary of the family: Transfer RNA (tRNA) molecules are approximately 80 nucleotides in length. Their secondary structure includes four short double-helical elements and three loops (D, anti-codon, and T loops). The record is from Rfam by way of RNAcentral. Lineage: Bacteria; Bacillati; Bacillota; Clostridia; Eubacteriales; Eubacteriaceae.